This 1058-nucleotide long non-coding RNA is filed under the name Macaca fascicularis (crab-eating macaque). RNAcentral's name for it is "lncRNA (ENSMFAG00000053762.1)". Lineage: Eukaryota; Metazoa; Chordata; Mammalia; Primates; Cercopithecidae. The record is from RNAcentral.
UUUAUUCAUGGGUCAGAUGAUUCAAUAUUGUUAGAUGUCAUUCCAAAGAAAUGAAAGCCUAUGUCCAUAAAAACACUUGUACACAAAUGCUCAUAGCUGCUUUACUUAUACUGGCCAAACUCUGAACAGCCCAAAUGUCCAUCAACAGGUGAAUGGAUAAAUAAACUGUGGUAAAGCCAUAUGGUGGAAUACUACUUGGCAAUAAAAAGCAAUGAAAUAGUGAGACACAUGAUAUGGAUGAAUCUCAAAUAAUUACACUAAGUGAAAUAAGCCAGAUCCUCUCCCGACCAAAGAGUGCAUGCUGUAUGAAUCCAUUUAUACACAAUUACAGAAAAUGAAAACAAUUCUAUUUUGUCAGAAAGUGACCCAUAGUUGCCUGGGUUAGGGGCACAGGGAGAGAGAGGAGGGAGGGAUUACAAAGGGGCAUUAAGAAGUUUUGGGGGAGGCUGGGCAUAGUGGCUCACGCCUGUAAUCCUGACACUCAGGGAGACCAAGGUGGGUGGAUCACUUGAGACCAGGAGUUCAAGACCAGCCUGGCCAACAGAGCAAAACCCUGCCUCUACUAAAAAUACACACACACACACACACACACAAAAUUAGCUGGAUGUGGUGGCAUGCACCUGUAGUCCCAGCUGCUCAGGAGGCUAAGGUACGAGAAUCACCUGAACCUGGGAGGCAGAGGUUGGUGGGCCGAGAUUGCACCACUGUACUCCAGCCUCGGUGACAGAGCAAGACUCUGUCUCAAAAAAAAAAAGUAGCUUUGGUGGGUGAUGAAUAUAUUUACAAUUUUGAUUGUGGUUAUGGUUUUAUGUGUAUAUACAUUCCAAGAUUGAUCACACUGUAUAUACUUUCAACAUGCAGCUUAAUGUAUGGUAAUUAUAUUUCCGUCAAGUUAUUAGAUUAAAAAGCAUAUGACAGAUCUAUAUAACACUAAAUUGAAAAGACAACUGUUAAGAGGAAAAGGCAAGUCUCAACACUGUAUUCCUAGUUUUGCAAAAGAAUGUGUAUAUUGUAUGAGAAUAUGCAAUAAAGGAUUACAACACUAUAUACCAACCGUU